Molecule: non-coding RNA, 3436 nt
Organism: Anolis sagrei ordinatus
Lineage: Eukaryota; Metazoa; Chordata; Lepidosauria; Squamata; Anolidae
Source: RefSeq, a predicted model, not a curated record
UGCGCUUCAUAGCAGAGUCGGCCUGAAUCCCAGCAAGAGUUUGCCAUGCGACAACACUGCGUCUGAACUCUUUGGCCACUUUUGGAAAAACUAUUUUGGAGCUUCCUGGCUGAAAUCAAUCCAUUAAUUUUCCCCUCCAAAAAUAAAACCAUUGGAUUUCUGAUUGAAGACCUUCAUUGCACUUGCUGUGCAAGAUGGGUGACUGGGGUUUCCUGGAGAAGUUACUGGAUCAGGUCCAGGAGCAUUCGACGGUCAUUGGCAAGAUCUGGUUGACGGUCCUCUUCAUUUUCCGUAUCUUGAUCCUGGGGCUCGCUGGGGAGUCCGUCUGGGGGGACGAACAGUCAGACUUUGUCUGCAACACCAAGCAACCUGGUUGUACCAAUGUGUGCUACGACAAGGCCUUUCCCAUCUCCCAUGUUCGUUACUGGGUGCUUCAAUUCCUAUUUGUCAGCACACCCACCUUGGUCUAUCUGGGCCACGUCAUCUAUCUCCACCGUCAAGAGGAGAAGCUGAAGGAGCGGGAGAAUGAACUCCGGGCACUCCAGUCCAAGGAUUACAACGUGGCGGCCACCUUGAUGGCGGUAGAAAAGAAGAUGGCCAAGAUCUGUGUGGCAGAAGAUGGGCGGAUCAAAAUACGUGGCCCACUGAUGUGGACCUACAUCAUCAGCGUGGUAUUCAAGUCCGCUUUUGAGGCUGGUUUCAUCCUCGGACAGUGGUACCUGUACGGUUUCGUCAUGAGGCCUCUCUAUGUCUGUGAAGGCUCCCCUUGUCCACACAAGGUGGACUGCUUUAUGUCCCGCCCCACUGAGAAGACCAUAUUCAUCCUCUUCAUGCUGGUGGUGGCCUUGAUCUCCCUCGCCCUCAAUCUUCUCGAGCUCUUCCAUCUCUGUUGCAAGAGUCUCCUCAACAGUGUCAAAGAAAGUGACUGCUGCUCUCCUUCGUCUGCUCCCCCUCUGCCUUGUGACAGCAACAAUUUCCCCACCAAACUUUGUGAAAUGCCUGUCGGGGCUUAUCCAGACAAGUCCUACUUCUACCUCCCAAUGACUGAGAGGCAUUCCCAGCACUAUCAGGCUUACAACAAGCUUUCCAAUGAGCAGAACUGGGCCAACUUCAACACCGAAGAAACCUUGGCUUUGCGAGACCAGAAUAAGCCCCCAGAUGUCUUUGCUGCCGAAGCUCCGAAAUCCUCACUCUCUCAGGAAAAGCAAUCCAGCCGGCCUAGCAGCAGUGCUUCCAAGAAACAAUAUGUCUAAUGAAAAGUAAUGAAAAUCUAAGGCUUCUUUGGUGAUAAUGGAAGGUUACGAAGCCAAGUGUCUUUUGAUAGGCUUCUUUAGUGUUGGGUUGCCUCAAUCUGGUUCAUUCUUGCUUAAGAGGCCAUGUCUUUCUGUUGUUUGGUGCUACGUUGUCUCAACCACGUUAUCCUGCUGUGCGGGUGGGAGCCAUGGCUUCCCCGUGGACACUGACUGAAUUUGUUACAGAAAAAUAGACAUGGAGCCAGCCUUUUCCAAGCCAAUGACAUGGCUAGUUAGUGGCCAUUCAGUGAUCACCGAGGUGGAAUGCUAUAUGUUGAGACCUGUUUUUCGGUGUCGUUUUUCUGGGUAAGAGACAGGUGGCAGAAAAUGGCUGGUCAAAGGGGACAUUAAGAGACCUCUUGACACUUCAGAUGGUGCAGAAGAUGGUUUCAGCUCUCACAUGGCAACUUGCAAGCUUGUGGGAAAGCAUAGAAGGAAAAUACACUCAACACAGGAGGCAUCUGAUGUAACUUCUAUUUAUGGAUGGCCGUGUGAAUUAUUUGGAGGUAUACCUCUCUCCCUGACCUCCAGGAAGUCCAAGCAGCUUAGAAAUAUAAAACCAUAUGCAAUAUAUUGGACUGGGAGGAAGAGUAAUCUAAAAAAAGAUUUCCUGUUCCAGAUAAACACUUGAGGAAAUACUGGCUGCAGCUGAAGUUAACUUACCAAGAGCUCAUCCUCACUUAAGUAUAAAACAAAGUCUCCUAGAUAUGGUGUAACUCCUUGGAGUCGUCUCUUAAAUAACUCGUUGGAGGUUCAUCCUGAUAACUGGGUGUGCUAUAAUGGGGUAGUGAACACUUUUUUAUUUGUCUUCACUGUAUGGUAUAUCUGGAUUAGGUUAUCUUUCUUCUGACACAUUCACUGUUGGUACACAAUCCAACGCUUGAUCUGAAAAAUACUUUCUCUUCAAUGUUGUAACAUUUGAUUUAAAGAUAACACAGUGAAAAUCCUUAACUUUUCCUCCUUGGCUUGUGUGCCUAUGCUCUUCUUUUCUCACCCACAGAAAUCAGAUUGUUGGAAUGAGACCCAUAAACAUGUGUAUCAGAUCUGUGCAACUCUGGCAUUCUAGAUAUUUGCAAAUUCCAUAAUCCUCAUCAUUGGCUGUGCUAGAUAGGACGGUUGGGACUUGUAGUCCAUAACUGUCUAGGGUUUCUCAGCCUUUGAUCCUCCAACAGUUUUGUUUAUCUGGAAGCCUUUCCCAGCAUGGCCAAUGAUGAAGUCCAAAAAAUCUGGAAGACCCAAGUUGGGAGCUAAGUAGGGAAGCUAAGUAGGGUCAGCCGCAAGUUGUCCAUCCCUACUAUAGACAUAAAUCCUCUUUUUGCUCUGACAUUCUAGAUAUUUGCAACUUCCAUAAUCCUCAUCAUUGGCUGUGCUAGGUAGGAUGGUUGGGACUUGUAGUCCAUAACUAUCUAGAGUAGGGUUUCUCAGCCUUUGAUCCUCCAACAGUUUUGUUUAUCUGGAAGCUUUUCCCAGCAUAGCCAAUGAUGAAGUCCAAAAAAUCUGGAAGACCCAAGUUGGGAGCUAAGUAGGGUCAGCCACAAGUUGUCCAUCCCUACUAUAGACAUAAAUCCUCUUUUUGCUCUGACAUUCUAGAUAUUUGCAACUUCCAUAAUCCUCAUCAUCGGCUGUGCUAGAUAGCACGGUUGGGACUUGUAGUCCAUAACUAUCUAGAGUAGGUUCUCGCAGCCUUUGAUCCUCCAACAGUUUUGUUUAUCUGGAAGCCUUUCCCAACAUGGCCAAUGAUGAAGUCCAAAAAAUCUGGAAGACCCAACUUGGGAGCUCCUGAUCUGAAAAGCCAUAAGUUGUCCAUCACUGCUAUAGAGACAAAUCCUCUUUUUGUUUGAAAAUCCAUAGGAAAGUCAUCCUCCUUUUCCCCUCAAACGUUUGUCACCCAAAGCAGAUCACAAGACUGUUGAGGAACAUGUGGAUCCUAUCUCCAUUUCAAUGUAUAGUCCUCGCCUGAAACAGAUAGGACAACCACUGGCCCAGUUAUAUGCUCUGUUGCCCAGACCGUAUAAGACACAAUGUAACAUUAGAUAUAAAUGUUUUGUAUAUGAACCAUUAUGUAUGGUUGUAUUGGCCAAUCUCUGUCCUGGCUACCUUGUGGUCUGUUGUCUUUAUGUUAAUUUAUUGUGAUAAAUUUGCAU